CGGGUGAGUAAUGCUUGGGAAUCUAGCUUAUGGAGGGGGAUAACUACGGGAAACUGUAGCUAAUACCGCGUAAUAUCGAAAGAUUAAAGUGUGGGACCUUCGGGCCACAUGCCAUAGGAUGAGCCCAAGUGGGAUUAGGUAGUUGGUGAGGUAAAGGCUCACCAAGCCGACGAUCUCUAGCUGGUCUGAGAGGAUGACCAGCCACACUGGGACUGAGACACGGCCCAG
Molecule: ribosomal RNA, 228 nt
Filed under: uncultured bacterium
Lineage: Bacteria
Description: partial 16S ribosomal RNA
Rfam family: Bacterial small subunit ribosomal RNA
Source: RNAcentral